Long non-coding RNA from Herpailurus yagouaroundi (jaguarundi), 1306 nucleotides. RefSeq lists it as uncharacterized. The transcript is spliced from 2 exons. The record is from RefSeq and is a predicted model, not a curated record. Lineage: Eukaryota; Metazoa; Chordata; Mammalia; Carnivora; Felidae.
GUUUACAAGCUUCCUCUAGACUCCCUGAAUUGUGGAUAUUGGAAAAAGCAUUAGGAACUCAAUUAAAUUUGAGUCUUUACUAGAAAUAUUUAUCCCCUAAUCUUCUCACAUAAGCAAAUAUUCAUUAGACCCAUGACUUCAAUCUGAUUUUUCCCUUUGUUCUCGAAUCUCACUGCUCUAAACAUCAUUUGUGUGCAUUUAAUAUCUCUAAAAGACCUUUGAAUCCCGUGAAAUCGGUUACCAAAGCCAGAAACCCAAGAAUCAUCUUAGAUCUUUCUUCAUGGUUUUAUUUUGCUUCCUCUUUCACUUCAAGAACCCAUUACUAGAUUCUAGAGAUUUUAACCACCUAUUACAAUAUCUUCCCUACUCUCUCCUUCAUCUCUAGAACCCCUACCAUUGUGAAAGCCCCUUCAACAUGAAGUAGUUAUGAUGACCAGACUGCAACUACUUCUCUUCUGGUCCCCCUGCCUCCCAUCUUGCCCCACUUCAUUAUCUCCAGUAAUGCCCCCAAGUAGUCUUCUCAUAAUCGCAAUCUGUUUAUUUCCUUCCCCUCAUCUUAAAAUUCUUGAAAAUUUCUCCACAGUUUUCAGAAUGAAGUUCAAAAUGUACUAGUUCCUCCAGAGUCUUCCCUUAGGUCCGCCUUGCACAAUUCCUCACUUGUACCCUUUCCCUGCACCCACACUGACUGGCUUGUCUGCCCUGAAUAGGUUACUCAGCUUCAGGUUCACUGCCCCUGCACAGAACUUUGCAUUAUCUAGAAUGUUCUUUUCUACUUUAUUCUCUUAUUACUCUUUGAGUCCUACCAUCUCUUUUCUGGAAUGUAGGCCCUCAGUGGACAGAGACGGCAUAAUUUGUUCAUCUCUAUGCCAAGUGCUCUGCUCAUUACUCUGCCGCCACACUUCUGAUACUUUACUCACUUUUCCAUAAUGUCAGUGCAAUUCUCAGUAUCUACAACUGUACUGUAAAUGUAUUGAAAACACGUAGCAGCUAGUAUAAUACCUAAGUAAAUGUCUAGUAUUUAUUGGAUGGAAAAGAAGAAGGAAAGAGAAAUAAACAAAGGAAAAUAAAGAGCAACAGGACCCACAUGUUGCCUAUCUCCAUACGCAUCAUGAACUCAUGGUGGGAUUCAGCACUUUGCCCUUAAAGCCGACCCAUGCUGGAAAGCAUAACUUAACCUUAACAAGAAACUGGAAAUUUACUUUGUAGAGAGUAAAUCUCAAAAUCACCAGGGAUAAUGGCAAAAAGGGAAGAGCUACUGCAAUAAAAUGGUAAAUUAUAAACUAACAAUAAAGACUAUAUAUGGAGA